RNAcentral lists this ribosomal RNA (1400 nucleotides) under metagenome. RNAcentral describes it as "bacterial SSU rRNA". It matches the Rfam family "Bacterial small subunit ribosomal RNA". The record is from RNAcentral.
GGGUGAGUGAUGCAUCGGAACUUACCUUUCAGUGGGGGAUAACGUAGCGAAAGUUACGCUAAUACCGCAUAUUCUGUGAGCAGGAAAGCAGGGGAUCGCAAGACCUUGCGCUGAUUGAGCGGCCGAUGUCAGAUUAGCUAGUUGGUGAGGUAAAGGCUCACCAAGGCGACGAUCUGUAGCGGGUCUGAGAGGAUGAUCCGCCACACUGGAACUGAGACACGGUCCAGACUCCUACGGGAGGCAGCAGUGGGGAAUUUUGGACAAUGGGGGCAACCCUGAUCCAGCCAUGCCGCGUGAGUGAAGAAGGCCUUCGGGUUGUAAAGCUCUUUCGGCCGGGAAGAAAUCGUAUGGGUUAAUACCCUGUGCGGAUGACGGUACCGGCAUAAGAAGCACCGGCUAACUACGUGCCAGCAGCCGCGGUAAUACGUAGGGUGCGAGCGUUAAUCGGUAUUACUGGGCGUAAAGCGUGCGCAGGCGGUUUUGUAAGACAGGCGUGAAAUCCCCGGGCUCAACCUGGGAACUGCGCUUGUGACUGCAAGGCUAGAGUACGGCAGAGGGGGGGUGGAAUUCCACGUGUAGCAGUGAAAUGCGUAGAGAUGUGGAGGAACACCAAUGGCGAAGGCAGCCCCCUGGGUCGACACUGACGCUCAUGCACGAAAGCGUGGGUAGCAAACAGGAUUAGAUACCCUGGUAGUCCACGCCCUAAACGAUGUCAACUAGGUGUUGGGUGGGUAAAACCAUUUAGUACCGGAGCUAACGCGUGAAGUUGACCGCCUGGGGAGUACGGCCGCAAGGUUAAAACUCAAAGGAAUUGACGGGGACCCGCACAAGCGGUGGAUGAUGUGGAUUCAUUCGAUGCAACGCGAAAAACCUUACCUACCCUUGACAUGUCCAGAAGCCUGAAGAGAUUUGGGUGUGCCCGAAAGGGAGCCGGAACACAGGUGCUGCAUGGCUGUCGUCAGCUCGUGUCGUGAGAUGUUGGGUUAAGUCCCGCAACGAGCGCAACCCUUGUCGUUAAUUGCCAUCAUUUAGUUGGGCACUUUAACGAGACUGCCGGUGACAAACCGGAGGAAGGUGGGGAUGACGUCAAGUCCUCGUGGCCCUUAUGGGUAGGGCUUCACACGUCAUACAAUGGUCGGUACAAAGGGUUGCCAAGCCGCGAGGUGGAGCCAAUCCCAGAAAGCCGAUCGUAGUCCGGAUUGCAGGCUGCAACUCGCCUGCAUGAAGUCGGAAUCGCUAGUAAUCGUGGAUCAGCAUGUCACGGUGAAUACGUUCCCGGGUCUUGUACACACCGCCCGUCACACCAUGGGAGCGGGUUCCGCCAGAAGUAGGUAGCCUAACCGCAAGGGGGGCGCUUACCACGGCGGGGUUCGUGACUGGGGUGAAGUCGAAACGAGGUA